GCAAGUCGAACGAACCCGAGACUUCGGUCUCAAUGGGUGAGUGGCGAACGGGUGAGUAACACGUGAGAAACCUGCCUCGGAGUACGGGAUAACCCAAGGAAACUUGGGCUAAUACCGCAUACCUUCCAGACACCGCAUGGUGACUGGAAGAAAGAUUUAUCGCUCUGAGAGGGUCUCGCGGUCUAUCAGCUAGUUGGUGAGGUAACGGCUCACCAAGGCUUCGACGGAUAGCUAGUCUGAGAGGACGAAU
Molecule: ribosomal RNA, 250 nt
Filed under: uncultured bacterium
Lineage: Bacteria
Description: partial 16S ribosomal RNA
Rfam family: Bacterial small subunit ribosomal RNA
Source: RNAcentral